AUAGGGAAGGGAAGAUGCCAUGAUCUUGAAGGUGAUCUUCCCAGGGUGAGGCUUAUCCAUUGCACUCCAGAUGUGCUGAUCCUGUGAUUUCCCCAAAUGUGGGAAAUUUGACGGAAUAAUUUGUAGUAGUUGGGGACUGUGUUCAUGCUCUCUCCUU
Small nuclear RNA from Nannospalax galili (Upper Galilee mountains blind mole rat), 157 nucleotides. Its record names the gene U1. It matches the Rfam family "U1 spliceosomal RNA". Rfam says of the family: U1 is a small nuclear RNA (snRNA) component of the spliceosome (involved in pre-mRNA splicing). Its 5' end forms complementary base pairs with the 5' splice junction, thus defining the 5' donor site of an intron. The record is from Ensembl. Lineage: Eukaryota; Metazoa; Chordata; Mammalia; Rodentia; Spalacidae.